RNAcentral lists this ribosomal RNA (305 nucleotides) under uncultured bacterium. RNAcentral's name for it is "bacterial SSU rRNA". It matches the Rfam family "Bacterial small subunit ribosomal RNA", at positions 334 to 635 of the family's 1533-position model. The record is from RNAcentral.
UCCCCCUACGGGACGCAGCAGUGAGGAAUAUUGGUCAAUGGGCGGAAGCCUGAACCAGCCAAGUCGCGUGAGGGAAGAAGGCCCUGCGGGUCGCAGACCUCUUUGGACGGGGAGCAAGGCCGCCGACGUGUCGGCGGAAGGAGAGUACCCGUAGAACAAGCAUCAGCUAACUACGUGCCAGCAGCCGCGGUAAUACGUAGGUGGCAAGCGUUAUCCGGAUUUACUGGGUGUAAAGGGCGUGUAGGCGGGGACGCAAGUCAGAUGUGAAAACCACGGGCUCAACCUGUGGCCUGCAUUUGAAACUG